GAAGGCCUUCGGGUUGUAGGGCCCUUUUGUUGGGAAAGAAAUCCAGCUGGCUAAUACCCGGUUGGGAUGCGGUACCCAAAGAAUGAGCACCGGCUAACUUCGUGCCAGCAGCCGCGGUAAUACGAAGGGUGCAAGCGU
This 138-nucleotide ribosomal RNA is filed under the name uncultured bacterium. Its description in RNAcentral is "partial 16S ribosomal RNA". It matches the Rfam family "Bacterial small subunit ribosomal RNA", at positions 410 to 541 of the family's 1533-position model. The record is from RNAcentral.